Molecule: non-coding RNA, 949 nt
Organism: Mus caroli (Ryukyu mouse)
Lineage: Eukaryota; Metazoa; Chordata; Mammalia; Rodentia; Muridae
Source: RefSeq, a predicted model, not a curated record
GCGCUGUGACCCGCAGGGAGACUGACGCGCUGGGACGGGAGAGUGGUCCGCUCUGGUGCGACUUUACUGGAAAGAUGAAACCCGAUGAAACUCCUAUGUUUGACCCAAGUUUGCUCAAAGAAGUGGACUGGAGUCAGAAUACAGCUAUAUUUUCUCCAGCCAUUUCUCCAACACAUCCUGGAGAAGGCUUGGUUUUGAGGCCUCUCUGUACUGCAGACUUAAAUAAAGGUUUUUUUAAGGUAUUGGGUCAGCUGACAGAGACUAGUGUCGUCAGCCCAGAACAGUUCAUGAAAUCUUUUGAGCAUAUGAAGAAGUCUGGAGAUUACUACGUUACAGUUGUGGAAGAUGUGACCCUAGGACAAAUUGUGGCUACAGCAACUCUGAUAAUAGAACAUAAAUUUAUCCAUUCAUGUGCUAAGAGAGGGAGAGAAGAAGAUGUCGUUGUAAGUGAGGAGUGCAGAGGGAAGCAGCUUGGCAAACUGUUAUUAUCAACUCUUACUUUGCUAAGCAUGAAACUGAGCUGUUACAAGAUCACCCUUGAAUGUCUACCACAAAAUGUCGGUUUCUACAAAAAGUUUGACUAUACAGUAUCUGAAGAAAAUUACAUGUGUCGGAGGUUCCUAAAGUAAAAACCACCAUCAAGAGGUUAAUGCUACAAGCCUUAAUUAACUGUUUUAGAGUUCAUUUUUGUUGCUGCAGCCCAGUGAGCUCCCUAACUACUAGACUGAAGUACGCUGUGGUGUGCCAGUGUAGUAACCUGGGAGGAUGCUGGGAAUACAAAUGAUCAUAAAGGGGGAGGAUUUUUAACCAAAGGAAUAUAUUUUCAACUUGAAUCUUUUCUUGCAUUGUAUUUUUCUAAAGUUUGUCUUCAUUUCUUGGUAGUCAAGAGUAUGGGUAGUAAACAUGUCUGCUCUAUGCUGCUCAUUUUUAAAUAUAUAUAUAUAUAUAU